UCCCUGGAGAACUAGUGGUUAGGACACAGCACUCUCACUGCUGCUGCCCGGGUUUGAUUCCUGGCCAGGGAA
Molecule: transfer RNA, 72 nt
Filed under: Pangasianodon hypophthalmus (striped catfish)
Lineage: Eukaryota; Metazoa; Chordata; Actinopteri; Siluriformes; Pangasiidae
Rfam family: tRNA
About the family: Transfer RNA (tRNA) molecules are approximately 80 nucleotides in length. Their secondary structure includes four short double-helical elements and three loops (D, anti-codon, and T loops). Further hydrogen bonds mediate the characteristic L-shaped molecular structure. tRNAs have two regions of fundamental functional importance: the anti-codon, which is responsible for specific mRNA codon recognition, and the 3' end, to which the tRNAs corresponding amino acid is attached (by aminoacyl-tRNA synthetases). tRNAs cope with the degeneracy of the genetic code in two manners: having more than one tRNA (with a specific anti-codon) for a particular amino acid; and 'wobble' base-pairing, i.e. permitting non-standard base-pairing at the 3rd anti-codon position.
Source: Rfam by way of RNAcentral